Homo sapiens (human) is the source of this 2762-nucleotide long non-coding RNA. RefSeq lists it as uncharacterized. The transcript has 2 exons. The record is from RefSeq and is a predicted model, not a curated record. Lineage: Eukaryota; Metazoa; Chordata; Mammalia; Primates; Hominidae.
UUGGUAGCUGAAGGGCAAGGUUUAUUGUCAGUUGGCUAUAACUUACCCUUAUGCUGAGAGAUCGCAAUUAUAUGUGAAUUCUGUGAUCACUUUUUCUGGUUUUUCUUUUCAGUUUUGGUCCACCUUCUGUUAGACUUUACCAACUCCUGGCCCCCUCUAAUGUUGAAUGAAACUCUGCAGCUGGAGAAAGUCAAUUUUCACUUCUAAAAACCCUGGCUGGGUAAGAAAGGUCAACAAUUUGACUACCUGAGAAGUUUCAUUUACACAACAAGACCCUUUUCCCAUCCUUUCUUUCGGUGCAAUUAAUUUAAAGAUUUUAGGGAUCUCUUAUUCUAAACAAUUAACAAAGAGAUCACAUUUAAAAAGGACAUAUAAUAGUGUCAUGGCCAGCCUUAAAAAUUCUCUUGACUAAAUUAAGAGUGAAAAAUCUGACCUAAACCAGUUCUGGUAGGUAAAAUUCCUGCAGAGGCUUGGGUUUGCUUUCUGGUCAAGGAAAAACAAAGGCCACUCCACCUGUGGCCCAAUAGUUAAAAUUCUGCACUUUCACAUCCACAGGGUGAGUCUGAUUACUGGUCAGGGAUCCAGCCCCUCUCGGUUUAAUAUUUGUGUGACUUUUUUGUUGGGUAUCAAUUUAUUAUUGAUCUUUAUGAUUGAUCUUUCCCACUUCCAUAGCUUUUUGUUUCCUGUCUUUUUUCAUCUGUUGGGGGCACAUGAGGCUUUGGGGCCUUUGUGUGCAUAUGGUCAGCUGAGAAGUAAUAUCAUCAGGAAGACGGGUGCUUCACCAUGCUUCUGCCUGUACCAGUGUACAGAAUAUAAAGCCUUGGAGGAACUGCAGUUGAUGACAGCAUCUUCCCCUUCUCGGAGGAUCACGGCUUGAGGACUCUGCACUGGUUGUUGGCUUCUCACCCCUGAUCAGAAAGACAAUCGAAUGAGAUGCUCAAUCUCGUGAAGGGAAGGGUGAUUUUCUCUCUUCCUUCCUUAUUUAAAACAUUAAGCAUCACCACAUAAUUACGGUACAUUUUCCUCACUUCUUAGGUCUGGUUCUUAAAAGGGCCCUUCCCAAGACAGAAAGCUAUUGUCAUUAAGAUGCUGUCAUAUCACAACCUCUCCCAGACUGAAUCGUGUACUCACAGGUCAACUGCCACAACAAGGUGCCUGAAAGCACUUUCAGGAGAGUCUCCAUCCUUGGCCUGCCAGAAUAUCCAGUCAGCUUCUGAAUGGGCUUCCUUAACAGGAGUUGCUUUGAACUCAGAAUGAGGCCUGUUGCAAUUGCUUCCAGGAUAUUGCAACUUUGGGGGCAACCAAUCAGAGACACAUCACAACAGUUUAACUGCAGAGAACUAAAUGCAUCUACCUAGAAUACUUUUUAAACAGCUCUCCCCUGUGGCCAGACUGAGGAAUGUUGAUUAAACUGUGGAUUUUGGCUUUUCUUGAGUAAGUUUUCAUACAGGAUAGGUUUUUUUCUUGCUAUAAGAAGGGCCUAUCAAUAUACUGUGUUACAGAAAGAAUUACUCCAGAAUUAAGAGAAAAAAGAAGUAUCAAGGGAAAAUGUAUUAUAUGUAUUUUACUACAUAUAUAUAUUUUAUAUACAUGCCCACACAUGGAUAUAAUAUAUAAGUAUGUGAACUCAUAGUAAUCUUUCAAACAGUGACAUUUCAUUAUAUUAUUUACUUGUGCAGAUUUCUUUCACUGCUCAUCAUUGUCUUCAAGAUAAUGUAAUGUACAAACAUCUUAUAAUGGCUUUUAAUUAUUUUCACAAAGUGGUUUCUGCUUAUUGCUUUAGUUUUAUAUUUACUGACAUACAUUUUGAGUUGUAUGCUCUGGCCAUCCUGAAUUAGUUUAAUGUCAUUCUCUUAACCUAAAUAUUGACUUCAUGUCUUUGUACAUUCUAUUUAUCUUUUUCUGUAAUACCCUGUCUCUGACUCCAUUUUUGGCUAACUGUUUUACAGAUCUUAACCUAGAUACUACUUCCCGUAGGCAGCUUUCCCUUACAUUUAAGUUUCCAAAUUAAAUGCCACUGUUAGGUGGUUAUAUUCUACGCUUCUCCUAUGAUAGCUUUUAUUAUACUAUAUUGUAAUACACUCUGCAAUAUUACAUGCUCCCUGAAGGCAGAAACAAUGCCUUAUUCUUCUCAUUUGCAUCUAUUGUUUUCAAGUCUAAGACACAUAUUAGGUAUCAAAUGAAUAACCUUAUUAAGUGAAAUCUCAAGUAAAUAGAAAACAUAUUUGGUAACCUCACAAAUAUUAUGGUUACUCAUUUAUAAAACUGAGAAUUAAGGUACAACUGCUUUGCAGUGGUGGUUUGAACAUUUUAUGACAUACAUAAUUUUAAUUAUAGCAUAAUUCUGGCUUUUAGUCCUCAGGUUCAUUGUGUUCUGUGUCACCUUGUACAUGCUGUUUCUAUCUUUAAGAUCACUUUUACUACCUUCUCUGUCUUUCAACUUGAUUGACUCCUACUAAAUCUUUAGGUCUCAGCAUAGGCAAGACAUACUACAGGCUGCCCCUGACUCACCUCUAAGGCUAAGAUGGGGGUGGGACUUUCCAUAUGCCUUCAUACCUCCCUUUGCUUUCCCAAGGUUGGCCUCAUUUCACUUUACUCUGUCUGAUUAGCUGCCUACAUAACUAACUAGACUACAAUUUAGUCAAAGAAGAUAUGUAUUUUUCCAUAGCUCUUUUUUUCCCAGCAUGUAACAUUUAUGCAGAACUCAGCAGGCAACCAGUUAACAAUUGCUAAUUGAUAAAAUGAAUAAAACUUGAGACCGA